AUCUCUGCUGCCUUUAUGCCUGAAUUCCAAGGAAGCUGAUCUUUCCUGUGUUUACUGCUUUGUGCAGCCACUGAAGAAAGAUGAGCAAUUGUCUCUCUCUACCAACAUUUCCAAAAUGUGCUCGGCUGGAGAUCUCAUUUGCAUGACAAAGAUGCCCCAUUAAUGAGCCAGUGGCCUGGUGGGCCAGGAGGGCUUUGGGGCACACCCAAACUGACUCUAUGAAACUACAGAAUUGCUUAUUACGUACGAUGCCCCCUCCAGACAACCACACUCAGACCGUGGGACAGCUUCCCUGGAGUCUGCGUUCUUUGUCCUUUGGAGGAUCUGGAAGAUAGCAGGGAUCAGUGAGAACUAUGCAGACUCCCAGCUCUGCUCCCAGGUCUUGGAGGCCAUGCCUUCGAGGUGGUAGUGGGCUAACCCUUAUUCAGAAGACUCACCUCUACUAUAAUUGUUUUCUUCCUGAUAUUCUGCUUUAUAGAUCAGUCAUGUGACCUUCUGAGGCCACAGGGUUUUCACUGUUGAAUAGUUCUUCGGAAUAACUCACACGUCCUGAGUGUGUGCUGAGUGCCAGGCACCAUUCCAGCGUUCUCGUGGGUUAUCUCGUGUAACACCGAUGGCUGCCCUUGAGCUACGGGUGAUUAUCGUACCCAUUUUACAGAUGAGGACGCUGACCCUAACCACAUCUGAAGUCCACCAAGGUGGACAGAAAUGCUCUCCUUGCUGGGCUCCCUGAGCUGUGUGGUAAACGGAAUUCCUGUCUUUUCAGGAUGCCACUGCUGUCUCCCACUGUCCCUUUCCCUCUCCUCUCUCCUAACAGAUCCUGGAUUUGCUCAAAGUGACAAUACUAGGGCACUGGGGAUUGACUCCAUUUGUAUACACACAGGAUUUGUGGGAAGACAGGUGCGAGGGUUUUCUCUCUCCAGUUCUCCAAUCACUAUUCCCCUUUUCCUGAGGGUGUGUCUUCAUCUUUUCCACACGAAGAGCAUCUUUCUCCUUCUCUCUGGUCUCCCCAGAACCAUAAUCGAUGCUCUUUCUUUACUUCGAUUAAAAAAAUCCCCAUCCCAGUAGCAUUUUUUUUUGUUGUUUGAGUCUCCCUCAGAUAGGUCCAUGAAAGAGGGCAAAGAGCCCAGGUUCUAUUUGGGGAAAUCUUGAUCUACAUGUUAAUUACGCACCUCAGUUUUCACAGUGUGUUACUUUGGUUGCAGACCCAGCCUAAGCCAGAUCCAAGUGGGUUGUACAACCAAACCCUGGGAAGGACAGUGACCAGUGAUGGGGUUCAGGAUCCUCUACCCCCAAAUACGGCACCUUGGCAUGUUGAAAAUUUUAAGCUAAAGGAGUCUGAGAAAACAGCAGAACUACCUUCUCCCUGAAAAAGGUCAUAAAAUCCUCAUGUGAUGGAUGCCCUCCUUAUACCCACAGGAAAGAGAAUCUUUGUCUCCCAAGACAAAGGGACACCAAGAAGAAUCUAAGCAAACAGGACAUGCCUAGUCUCCCCUGUUUACUAGCCUUCCUCCUACCCCUUAACCUGUCAUGUUCCUCCACGACUGUCUGCUCUUCCUCAAACCCAGCAUAAAAAUACCCAGUUCUGUUUCUUUGGAUCUUCCUUUCCUUAUGAAGGCGCCCAUGUCAGGUAAAACUUAACGAAAUGUGUAUCCUUUUCUCCUGUUCAUCUGUCUCUGGCAGUCUACUUUUCAGACCCGGUCAGGCACCCUACAAGGGUCCAGGAAAACUUUUUCUUCCCUCCACAGGGUGAACCCACGGCUCGGGAGCCCUGAAUGGUGCUCGGUGUGUGCUUGACUUUCAUGUCUGUUUCUCUGUGAUAGUUUCAUUUCUCUCCCAUGAGAAGGAAAGCAUGGCUGAUGGCAUCUCCCAAGCUUUGUAUUUAACAACUUCACAGAGGGACUUAACAAUCCCUCCCUUUUCUCCCUCUGGGAGGAUUCGUUGGGCCAAGCAAAGACCCAGAGUAAUAACAUGAUGGCCCAGAGUUGCCAUGGGGAUCACGGGACUCUGAAGAGAAGGGUUGGGCAGAUGGAGCCCUAGAUACCCAAGACAGUUCAUCGUCCUCAUUAACGUCCCAGUACAGCCUCUAAGAGCAAGUCACACGGCCAAGGUCAGAGUCAGCGUCAAAGGAGAGCAACAACGUGGAUACAGGAAGGAGAAGAAGUUUUGCUGAUUACAUAAGUGCCUCCACAGCACCCUGCCAUUUCACCAACUGUAACUAUGCAUGGGAUGAAUAAAAACUUAGACAUUUUCCUUGCUUGGGAUGGAUGUGUGAAGCCUCCUCAAAGCCUGCACCCAAUAUUUCUAGUCAUCUGUACCAAUAUCUACUUCGGGCCUCUUCAUCUUGGCCACACGGUCACUACAGUUCCUUAUCCAACGUCUUAUAUGAUCUGUGUAUGUCCGGGGUGUCUCCCUCAUCCAUCGCGUCCAGAAGGAGUUGUGUUUAGUCGGGGUUUGUGUGCAUGCCGACAAGUCAUUCACCUGAGAAUCACCAAAUCAUGGUAAAUGCCUGUUUUUCACAUGAUGUGUUGGGAGUGGAAUGAAGGUAAGGAACUCUGAGAUAGAUUGGAACUGAGCUGGACAGUUCUGCAAGCUCCUUUCUAUCUUCCUAGAUUUUAUAGUCUGUUGUCACUGACUCUACACCCCUCAAAACCAGGGUUUCAGCUUUGUCGGGGGGCUGCACCUGGCACUUGGGGAAUUGGAGCCAGACUCUGUAGAUCCUCUUGCAAGGGCAUCUUCAGAAGGCACAUGUUGCCCCUCAGAUCUGGGUCUGAAGCCCAAACAAGGAUUACAGGGCCUCUUCCAGGACCUCAGCUGUGCCCUACAAGGAAAACGUGCUAAGAGUAAGCGUAGGUAUUGUUAACCCAGUCACGAUGGAUUUAAAGUUUGUCUUCCUCACAGUGAAACUGCAUUAUACGGGCUCCUCAGAGUAUGAGUCCAGACAAAGUCAAGUGCAAGUGGUUCACUUGUGAGAUGAUCCCAGGAAGCACCAGUAGGGAAGUAAGGAAGUGCUAUAGGGAAGGGGAGGAAGCAAAAAGGAUGGAGUGUUCAACGAGGUGGGCAAGUAGAGCUUAGCCCCACUGGGGAAUGCCGAGAAGCAGUGUGGAACAUGAGCGUUACCAACCUAGGGCAGAGGACGCUGCAGCAUCGCCCUGCAAACCCCUGGUCAUCAGUUGCUGAAGGCUGCUUCCAGGGGUGUUAGCUCUCCGGCACCUCUGGCUUUUCCUCAAUGAUCGUAGAAAAGGUUCCUGCAGCCAGAAACAAAACAUACAAACAAGAGACUGCUCAGGCAGAGAGUCUUGCGUGUAGAGGUGAGGGCCCCGAGGA
Long non-coding RNA from Balaenoptera acutorostrata (minke whale), 3327 nucleotides. RefSeq lists it as uncharacterized. Lineage: Eukaryota; Metazoa; Chordata; Mammalia; Artiodactyla; Balaenopteridae. The transcript is spliced from 4 exons. The record is from RefSeq and is a predicted model, not a curated record.